RNAcentral lists this long non-coding RNA (265 nucleotides) under Carica papaya (papaya). RNAcentral describes it as "long non-coding RNA (CPAP_LNC012607)". Lineage: Eukaryota; Viridiplantae; Streptophyta; Magnoliopsida; Brassicales; Caricaceae. The record is from RNAcentral.
CGGGAACGUGGUCUCUCAUAUCGAACGGGGUAUGGAGACCUUAUGUGUUUUGGCGCCCAUACCUGACGGGGUAUGGGGACAGCCCAUUUCCCCCUCAUACCGAACGGGGUAUUGAGGUUUAUGGUUUUGGCGCCCAUACCGGACGGGGUAUAGGGACGACCCGUUUCACCCUCAUACCGAACGGGGUAUUGAGGUUUAUGGUUUUGGCGCCCAUACCGGACGGGGUAUGGGGACAUCCCAUUUCACCCUCAUACCGAAUGGGGUA